CAACAGGAUUUUCUUAAAUCCAAUUAUGCUACAAAAGCAAAAAAGU
Non-coding RNA from Glossina fuscipes fuscipes, 46 nucleotides. NCBI's taxonomy places the organism in Eukaryota, Metazoa, Arthropoda, Insecta, Diptera, Glossinidae. The record is from Rfam.